Zea mays is the source of this 2317-nucleotide long non-coding RNA. RefSeq lists it as uncharacterized. The transcript has 5 exons. The record is from RefSeq and is a predicted model, not a curated record. Lineage: Eukaryota; Viridiplantae; Streptophyta; Magnoliopsida; Poales; Poaceae.
GCCAGCGCCCGCGAAUCCCUCCGGUUCCGAACCGCCCGCACGCCACGCAAUCCGCUCCUCCCUCCGCCUGAGCUUGCCGUCAUCAGUCUGCACCGCGCCGGAUCCGUCUGCUCCCCCCUCGAGAUGGCAGCCCCAGCUAUGCCCGCGUCGAGCCCUCACCCACGGAUCCGAGGAUCUCCUACCUCUCUACACCGGAUCAGCUCCUCCCUCCGCCCGAGAUUGUCAUCAUCAAUCCGCUCUGCGCCGGAUCCGUCCGCUCCCCCACUCGCGAUGGCGCCCGCGUGGAAAAUGAUCUGCGUGUUUGAUUAGAAAAUGAUCUGCGUGUUUGCAAUCAAAUUAUUCAGUUCUUGCAAGAAUGACAUGAUUUUGUUACUAAAUAGUGUUCCUUUUAUUCAGAAAUGACCAAGACAAUGCAAGUGCUUAAUGAAGCAAGCUGGCAGGAAACAUUUAAAGCUCUUUGGAUUUCCACCCUUCGUCUUGUACAACGGGCUAGAGAACCUCUUGAAGGACCGAUUCCUCAUCUAGAUGCAAGGUUAUGCAUGUUGUUAGCUCUUAUACCAUUAUCAAUUGCUGCGAAUCUUCAAGAGGAAAGUGAUAUGUUUGGAGUUGAAGGGAACAAAAUUCUUCCACAAAGACAAGGGCUUAUAUCAUCUCUCCAGAAUCUGAUCCAAUAUUCAGGACUUCUUGUACCACCUUCAUCAGUGGUGAAUGCAGCUAAUGUUGCAGCCUCAAAAGCAGCAAUAUUUAAGGCCAACUAUAAGGCUGGGGUUGGCAACACUAGCAUGAUGGACCAGACUGACUCUUCAAUGAAAGCUGGAAAACGGAGUCAAAAAUGAAUUUUGCCUUGACCUGCGCAAACAAGAUGCAGGAAAUGUAUCUAAUCUCUUGAGACUCCAUCUUAAACAGUUGGCAAAUAUUCCAUGUAAGAUAUUGGUUCAUGACUCUGAGUUUAUCAGUUCCUCUGUUGGGAAUUAUCUUAUUUCUCUGUUGUUUCACGUUUGUAACUUUUGAUUACCUGAGAAUUACUAUUGGUGUUGAUGACAGCAGUUCCAAGAUGGGACAAAGAAGAAGAAAGGUGUGAAUUUGAUGGCUAAUUGUUACUUCUGAUUUUUGCACCGUACCUACUGCUUAGCUGGAUAAAUGAUUUUUAAGUAAACCCUUGGGUUGUACUUUGAGUUUUCAUCCCAAAUUUUAAUAUUGACAUAAAACUCCUACUCUGUCACGGUAUUAGUAAAACGCUUCAUACCAACAUUUUACUUCAUUUUAUUUUGCACUUUGUACAGUAUCUCAUCAAAAUCUUCAUUUUGACCCCUCUUUCCCAUAGCUAUAUAGAAAAUAUGUCUCUAGACAAAGUGUGUCAAGAGGGUUUUGGGACGGCUACUAAGGUUGACUAGGUUGUUUUGCCACCUCGGGGACGGCGCCGGUGGUAGGCCGGUCUCGCGGACGCACGGGGCACCACCGGGCGGCCUAGUGCUGGUCUCCAAGGAUCCGGACAACAUCCGCGAGAUCGCGCUGCGUGAGUACACCGAGCUGGUGAUCGACGAGACGGAGGUGUCGGAGGCCACUCCAGCAGAAGAUGAUGACUUACUUAAAGUUGGUACAGGCAUUUGCUCUUCAACACCUAAAAUUGUUGAACCCCAGCAACAUAAUUGUACCUCUGUAACAGAAGAUCAUCUGAUAAUCCCUAAAGAAGCUGACAAUGUUUGUGGGCAGCAUUAUCCUAUCACUGAGAAAAUCUACCGUUCACACAUGUGGCAAAGAGAGCAAUCAAAAGAAGAAUGGUGCAGGAUGCAUUGGACAGUAAUGCUUGAGUAUGGUACAUCAGGGGGCUGUCAGCUACAACCUUGAUGGAAUACCUCCAUCGAUCUAAGGGAUAUUAUAGCAGAAAUUGAUCUUCACCCGGGAAUACACGACCUACUGGCACAUUUGAUCACCAUCCAUUAUAGGAGAAUUCUCAACCAAAUCUGCUUAUUGUAGUUUCUUUGUCGGGGGCUCGGGGCUGUUGAUUUUGACCCAUGGAAAGAAAUCUAGAAGUUUUGGACUGCACCUCCAAUGCAAGUUUUUCAUUUGGUUAGCUGCUCUAAAUCAGUGUUGGACUGCAGUCAGGUUAGCUCACUGGGGACUUGAGCAUCAUGAGAGUUGUCCAUUGUAUGAUCAAGAAGAGGAGAACAUACAACAUUUGCUCACCUCCUAUGUAUUUGGCGGGGGCAGUCUACAGUAUCGUCUUGCAAAAUGGCUCAAUUUUUAGCUGUGGUCCAAACAUGCCCUAAUUGUUCUCCACUUCUUGCAGCUAAUAGCUAACAUGUUCUUUUCAUUA